Molecule: ribosomal RNA, 426 nt
Filed under: uncultured bacterium
Lineage: Bacteria
Description: bacterial SSU rRNA
Rfam family: Bacterial small subunit ribosomal RNA
Source: RNAcentral
AUUGAACGCUGGCGGCAUGCCUUACACAUGCAAGUCGAACGGCAGCACGGGGCAACCUGGUGGCGAGUGGCGAACGGGUGAGUAAUGCAUCGGAACGUGCCAUUGAGUGGGGGAUAACGUAGCGAAAGUUGCGCUAAUACCGCAUAUUCUGUGAGCAGGAAAGCAGGGGACCGCAAGGCCUUGCGCUCUUUGAGCGGCCGAUGUCAGAUUAGCUAGUUGGUGAGGUAACGGCUUACCAAGGCGACGAUCUGUAGCGGGUCUGAGAGGAUGAUCCGCCACACUGGAACUGAGACACGGUCCAGACUCCUACGGGAGGCAGCAGUGGGGAAUUUUGGACAAUGGGCGCAAGCCUGAUCCAGCCAUGCCGCGUGAGUGAAGAAGGCCUCGGUGUAAGACGUCUUUCGGUCCGGGUAACGGAAAGUACGG